UAGGAUGAAAACACUGGGGCUGAAAUGC
This 28-nucleotide non-coding RNA is filed under the name Macaca fascicularis (crab-eating macaque). Lineage: Eukaryota; Metazoa; Chordata; Mammalia; Primates; Cercopithecidae. RNAcentral also lists the same sequence under 1 other name. The record is from RNAcentral.